Molecule: small RNA, 499 nt
Filed under: uncultured Glomeromycotina
Lineage: Eukaryota; Fungi; Glomeromycota
Description: SSU rRNA
Rfam family: Eukaryotic small subunit ribosomal RNA
Source: RNAcentral
CCAAUAGCGUAUAUUAAAGUUGUUGCAGUUAAAAAGCUCGUAGUUGAAUUUCGGGAUCAAUUUAUUGGUCGUGCUAUUGUACGUACUGGUAUUAUUGAUUCCUACCUUCUGACGAACCAUGAUGUCAUUAAUUUGGUGUCUUGGGGAAUCAGGACUGUUACUUUGAAAAAAUUAGAGUGUUUAAAGCAGGCUCACGCUUGAAUACAUUAGCAUGGAAUAACGAAAUAGGACGUUUGAUUCUAUUUUGUUGGUUUCUAGGAUCGACGUAAUGAUUAAUAGGGAUAGUUGGGGGCAUUAGUAUUCAAUUGUCAGAGGUGAAAUUCUUGGAUUUAUUGAAGACUAACUACUGCGAAAGCAUUUGCCAAGGAUGUUUUCAUUAAUCAAGAACGAAAGUUAGGGGAUCGAAGACGAUCAGAUACCGUCGUAGUCUUAACCAUAAACUAUGCCGACUAGGGAUCGGAUGAUGUUAAUUUUUUAAUGACUCAUUCGGCGCCUUACA